CUCACUUUAGGAUGAAUACCAAGUGGCACCUCCCAAAGUAGACUUUGUCCCAAAGGCCACUCAUGGAGCUGCCAAGAGUUCAGAAAUGUUGUACCCUGGUUCCCUGGGGGUCCUUCCACCCUCAGCUUGUAGCAUGGGUUGUCUCCCACAUAGCUGCCUGGAGAUGGCAGCCAGGGACAUCAGAGUGCCUGCCAGGACCUUCCUGCAGGAGUUCAUUGAGCACUGCCCAGGAAAUCCAAGGCCUGUGAAAAUUUAACUCUGAACUCAAGGCUGAGCAGGAAGAGGAGAUGCGGUGGGAAGCACACCAUACUUUGUCAUCAGAGAAUGCCUCAGCACAGGGGACCAGAGGAAUGGAAAGGUGCCACCAAGCUGCCAUCUCAGAGGACAUUUCCUCUGGAACCUUGGAACAGAAACUGGAAUUCAGAGCUAGAUCUAGAACAUCAACUGUCCAAUAGCUCCGCUUUUGAGGAAGGAAACUGAGAUCCUCAAAAGCCCUCUGACUGGCUCGAGGUCCUCCAGAGAGUGAAAUACAAAUGGAGCUCCAGACUCUGGGGCAGCGUGUCACCCCUUAGAUCGUGGGGACCGGCAGAGCCUGAGCCUUUGGAGAAGUCAGAAUGGCUUUUGUCCCCGAGCCCCUGCCUUACAGUGGCUGGAAGUCCAUGGUUCCUCCCGGGCCUCUGAAGCCAGGACACAUGCUCACUCGGAGGCUGGGCCCCUGCUUCAGUAUCUACACCUGUCUCUACCCUUCAAGCUACCAGCAAUUUCCUGUCACCCGGCUCUGGUCUAUGGCAGGUCCUGCCUCCAGUUCUGAACCAGCUUCCAGGACUGUCUUGGAAUCUGCACGCAUAGUGUGCCCUUCUCUGUACUAAGUCUUACCUGCCAGAAAAACAAAGAUUUGGCUUUGGACUCCUGAGAAAGUCUGUUCCUUGCAGGACCGUGGAUCAGAUGCUGCGUGAAGGCUGGGAACAGGACUCCCUGGGAACGCCAUGUCUCAGGCUUGCAUUCAUGUGCAGUUAAUUCAGAUGCUUACAGGAGACAGGCCAGGUAUGCUAGGUACAGGAGAGCAUCUGGGUUAGCUUCCCUUGAGGAAGAGGCUGAUCACCUGAGCCCAUCCUCUCUGUCCACAGCUUUUUAGCCCAACCGCCAAGUUCUUGUGGACAAAUCAGGGUCCCGUCCCCCCCACCCCGCCCCUUCUUUGUUCUCUCUCUUCUGCUCCAGGCUCGGGUCUCCAGGGCCUCAGGGAAGGUCAAGUGCUGAUUGCCUGCUUUGGUUUUCAGACAUCAAAAAAUGGUUCCCCGGGUGAACAAUGGCCUGACCAUCUGCGAGAUGUUAACUGCAUAAUGGAAUGUAACGCGAAGGGCUUUUAAAAACACGAAGAGAGAUUUUAUUGUAACUAAUCGUGAUGGAUGGCGAGUGUGGUCACACUUGGGUCGUAAAUCUUUGUGCCAAGCCUGGGACUUAAAAAAGCCAACGAACUCCGGAGUUCAGAGAGCCUUGUCCUCAGCCAUGAGCAAAUCACAUGGGAAAGGUCUGGGUACCUCGUUUGCAUCUGCGCCCUUCUUCAGUGAAGUCAUUGGCUGCCUCUGCUUGAGUGAUAGGCUGCCAGGGUGACAUCCCCUCUCACCUCGGUUCCCAGGAGUGGGCUCCGAGGCUGACUGAAGGGGAAGGGGCUAGACAGAGCCAAGGAAACUCUCCCCCCCACACACACACACUCUUCUCCCAUUUAAUUAGAGAGAAAAACCAGUCACAGAUCAGGGCAGGCUCUCAACGGCAAAGUUCACGGGUAAUAGCUGCUCCGACUAGCCGCGUUCAUUGUUUGAGAACCUUCUGAGCACUUGUGAAGCUGGCCAAGGCGCUUUCCUCAUGAAGUUCGUUGAUGAAUCAGUUAAGGUUUCACAGUAUUGCUGAGGGAGCAGGAAGGCCGGACACAAGUCGGCACCUUCUGCUACUCCAAGACCCUGGGAAAGACACCUGACCUCUGUGCCUUGGUCUUCUCCUCUGUGCCUUGGUCUUCUCCUCUGUGCCUUGGUCUUCUCCUCUGUGCCUUGGUCUUCUCCUCUGUGCCUUGGUCUUCUGCUAAGUGGGUAUAAUAGCUGCCAGAAAAAUGGAUUUGUGUGAUGCCGUUUAUAUCUCAAAGCACUUGGUAGGAGGUUAUGAUAUACUAUUUUUACUCAAUUGGAAUUUGAAAAACAGUUCAAACAAUAUACCAGACAUCAAUAUUUUUUUUUCCUGGAGAGACAACAGCAAGAAAGAGUGGAGAGGGGCGGAGAAGUUGGAAAACUGUGAGGGUCUCCCUUUCAAGGUGUAGAUGUGGCUUGGCUUCUGGUCACAUUUGCUUCCUCCCACUUCAAAAGCAAAAACAAGGAGAGAGCCAGAACUCAGUCCUGUAGACAUGCAGGUGCUAUAGCCUGAAUGAGUCCCUCUAAAAAUCAUGUGCUAAAACACAGCACCAACCCAAAGUGACUUUGGGACAUGAUUAAAUCAAGAAGAUGGAGCCCUCUUGAAUGGGAUUAGCGUGUUCCAGAUAGCUGCCUAUCUCUUUUGUGGCCUGGGAACUAAGAAAGAAGAUCACAUUAAAUCUGCCAGUGCCCUGAGCUUUCCAGCCUCCAGCUCAGUAAGCCUAAGUCUGUGGUUUAUAAGCCCCGAGUAGGGCGGUGGUGAGCUCUCAGAAUAGUGGGGACUGCGGCAAAUGCUCACUUUGCAAAGAUGUUUAGAGAGAACUUUCCUGUGGGUCUUUAUCAGCUGAUAUUUCACUUUGUAGAAUAUUAUACCGGCCCCCAAUUCAGAACUUUACUGAUAUUAAGCAAUUCACCGUCUUCAAGGCAAGGAGGUCAGUGCCCCAGGGUCACAGAAAGCUCCUUUGAGCAGGACGGACGCCAUGGGCUCUCCAGGUGCCUUUCUGCUGUGUCAGCAGACAGAACAGGCUGAAGGUCACAGAGAAUGGGCUGAGCACUGUUGGUUCCCAUGGCCCGCACCUGCCGAUCCCUUCUUUUCUGAUAUCGAGACGUCUUCCUAUUCUCGGGGUUCCUCCGUGUCUGAGGAGGGUAAGGCAGAACCACUCUGGGACUCCUUUCACCUCCAUUUUCUCAGUUUCCAGAAAUGCUUUACAGCUUGGGGACCGUUUAUUGAAGUAUUUUAAGGUCUCUAAUGUAACUACAGACUGUCUCUUACUCUUAGAUUUUUUUUAUCCCAAAACUUUCUAGAGAAUUCUACAAACUUGGGGGAGAUAAUUGGACUCUAGUGUCAACUUUAAAGCUGUUCUCUGGAGGCUGUUUGAUACUUUUCAAAGUUGUUAAGGCCAGCCUUGGGACUAAAAGAAAAUACUUUAUGUAAAUAUUCUGUGGCGAGUUUUAAAGAAUAUAUUCCUCCUGGAGAGGGAAUAGAACGCACCAUGUAUGAAUCAACCUUACAUAACUCAGUAUUUAACACUUGGAAUACUUAUGUGGUGGGGCUAUUUAAAUGGCAAUAAUUUGUUUUCAUUUUCUGACACAGCAUCUAGCUAUGUAGCCCAGGCUGGCCUGAACUCACGGCCCUCCUAUCUCAGCCUUCCAGAUGCUGGGGUCAUAAGUCAGUACCGACACUCCUGGACUAUCUUUUGGCCCAGUCUGAGAAUAGUGUCCACCUAUCUGCAAGGCUUUCGAUUUAGGGGUUUGAUCUGUUUAUAGAUGGUGCCGGUAAUGUUUGGUUUUUCUGUUUGUUUGUACUUUAGGCUUAUUUGAUUCUCCUCAUUCCCUUUUGUUGUAUGACUUAUGUUGACUGCCUUGCUUUCAUUAAAAAUAAUUAGUACAUUUCCCACUCUUGUUCCGUUAGUGGCAACCUUUGAGUUUUUCAGAUGUGCCUUGGAUUGUUUUUCUCUGAUACUGUAAAUCAGUAUCUAUCAAAGCUUCCCAUGUGUAUAAUGGAAAAUGUCUUGAAUUUGUCUCUUUCCCUCAUUAAAUUGAUUUUCUGCAGUCCCCA
This is a long non-coding RNA of Peromyscus californicus insignis, 3957 nucleotides long. RefSeq lists it as uncharacterized. Lineage: Eukaryota; Metazoa; Chordata; Mammalia; Rodentia; Cricetidae. The transcript is spliced from 2 exons. The record is from RefSeq and is a predicted model, not a curated record.